AUGUACCUCCGUACACUCCGGUUCCUCCGCGCCGUCCGCACCCACCUGACGACUGCUCGCUACGUUUUGUUAGCC
RNAcentral lists this small RNA (75 nucleotides) under Xanthomonas campestris. Its description in RNAcentral is "sRNA sX9". It matches the Rfam family "Xanthomonas sRNA sX9". Lineage: Bacteria; Pseudomonadati; Pseudomonadota; Gammaproteobacteria; Lysobacterales; Lysobacteraceae. RNAcentral also lists the same sequence under 1 other name. The record is from RNAcentral.